RNAcentral lists this ribosomal RNA (495 nucleotides) under uncultured bacterium. Its description in RNAcentral is "partial 16S ribosomal RNA". It matches the Rfam family "Bacterial small subunit ribosomal RNA", at positions 28 to 507 of the family's 1533-position model. The record is from RNAcentral.
GACGAACGCUGGCGGCGUGCCUAAUACAUGCAAGUAGAACGCUGAAGGAGGAGCUUGCUCUUCUGGAUGAGUUGCGAACGGGUGAGUAACGCGUAGGUAACCUGCCUGGUAGCGGGGGAUAACUAUUGGAAACGAUAGCUAAUACCGCAUAACAGUAGAUGUUGCAUGACAUUUACUUAAAAGGUGCAAUUGCAUCACUACCAGAUGGACCUGCGUUGUAUUAGCUAGUUGGUGGGGUAACGGCUCACCAAGGCGACGAUACAUAGCCGACCUGAGAGGGUGAUCGGCCACACUGAGACUGAGACACGGCCCAGACUCCUACGGGAGGCAGCAGUAGGGAAUCUUCGGCAAUGGACGGAAGUCUGACCGAGCAACGCCGCGUGAGUGAAGAAGGUUUUCGGAUCGUAAAGCUCUGUUGUAAGAGAAGAACGAGUGUGAGAGUGGAAAGUUCACACUGUGACGGUAUCUUACCAGAAAGGGACGGCUAACUACGUG